UACGGAAGGCAGCAGUGGGGAAUAUUGCACAAUGGGCGAAAGCCUGAUGCAGCUAUGCCGCGUGUAUGAAGAAGGCCUUAGGGUUGUAAAGUACUUUCAUCGGGGAGGAAAAACAAAACUAAUAAUUUUAUUUCUUGACGUUACCCGAAAAAGAAGCACCGGCUAACUCCGUGCCAGCAGCCGCGGUAAUACGGAAGGUGCUAGCGUUAAUCAGAAUUACUGGGCGUAAAGAGCACGUAGGUGGUUUUUUUAAGUCAGAUGUGAAAUCCCUGGGCUUAACCUGGAACUGCAUUUUGAAACUGAAAUACUAGAGUAUCGUAGAGGGAGGUAGAAUUCUAGGUGUAGCGGUGAAAUGCGUAGAUAUCUGGAGGAAUACCUGUGGCGAAAGCGGCCUCCUAAACGAAUACUGACACUGAGGUGCGAAAGCGUGGGGAGCAAACAGGGAUUAGAUACC
This 454-nucleotide ribosomal RNA is filed under the name uncultured bacterium. RNAcentral describes it as "bacterial SSU rRNA". It matches the Rfam family "Bacterial small subunit ribosomal RNA", at positions 340 to 786 of the family's 1533-position model. The record is from RNAcentral.